GAUGAAGAACGUAGCGAAAUGCGAUACGUAAUGUGAAUUGCAGAAUUCAGUGAAUCAUCGAAUCUUUGAACGCACAUUGCGCCCGCCAGUAUUCUGGCGGGCAUGCCUGUCUGAGCGUCAUUUCAACCCUCAGCCCCCGCUCGCGGGGCGCUGGCGUUGGGGAUCGGCCGUCCUCGCGGCGGCCGGCCCCGAAACACAGUGGCGGUCUCUCGCGGACUCCCCUGCGUAUUAGCACUACCUCGCAGAAGGGACGAGCGGGCUGACCACGCCGUAAAACCCCCCACUUCUCCAGGUUGACCUCAGAUCAGGUAGGAAUACCCGCUGAACUUAAGCAUAUCAAUAAGCGGAGGA
RNAcentral lists this unclassified non-coding RNA (351 nucleotides) under soil metagenome. RNAcentral describes it as "partial contains 5.8S ribosomal RNA, internal transcribed spacer 2, and large subunit ribosomal RNA". The stretch from base 1 to 120 matches the Rfam family "5.8S ribosomal RNA", at positions 35 to 154 of the family's 154-position model. The record is from RNAcentral.